GCGUUAAGUUGCAGGGUAUAGACCCGAAACCCGGUGAUCUAGCCAUGGGCAGGUUGAAGGUUGGGUAACACUAACUGGAGGACCGAACCGACUAAUGUUGAAAAAUUAGCGGAUGACCUGUGGCUGGGGGUGAAAGGCCAAUCAAACCGGGAGAUAGCUGGUUCUCCCCGAAAGCUAUUUAGGUAGCGCCUCGUGAAUUCAUCUCCGGGGGUAGAGCACUGUUUCGGCUAGGGGGCCAUCCCGGCUUACCAACCCGAUGCAAACUGCGAAUACCGGAGAAUGUUAUCACGGGAGACACACGGCGGGUGCUAACGUCCGUCGUGAAGAGGGAAACAACCCAGACCGCCAGCUAAGGUCCCAAAGUCAUGGUUAAGUGGGAAACGAUGUGGGAAGGCCCAGACAGCCAGGAUGUUGGCUUAGAAGCAGCCAUCAUUUAAAGAAAGCGUAAUAGCUCACUGGUCGAGUCGGCCUGCGCGGAAGAUGUAACGGGGCUAAACCAUGCACCGAAGCUGCGGCAGCGACACUAUGUGUUGUUGGGUAGGGGAGCGUUCUGUAAGCCUGUGAAGGUGUGCUGUGAGGCAUGCUGGAGGUAUCAGAAGUGCGAAUGCUGACAUAAGUAACGAUAAAGCGGGUGAAAAGCCCGCUCGCCGGAAGACCAAGGGUUCCUGUCCAACGUUAAUCGGGGCAGGGUGAGUCGACCCCUAAGGCGAGGCCGAAAGGCGUAGUCGAUGGGAAACGGGUUAAUAUUCCCGUACUUGGUGUUACUGCGAAGGGGGGACGGAGAAGGCUAUGUUGGCCGGGCGACGGUUGUCCCGGUUUAAGCGUGUAGGUGUGUGUUCCAGGUAAAUCCGGUUCACUUUAACACUGAGGCGUGAUGACGAGGCACUACGGUGCUGAAGCAACAAAUGCCCUGCUUCCAGGAAAAGCCUCUAAGCAUCAGGUAACAUCAAAUCGUACCCCAAACCGACACAGGUGGUCAGGUAGAGAAUACCAAGGCGCUUGAGAGAACUCGGGUGAAGGAACUAGGCAAAAUGGUGCCGUAACUUCGGGAGAAGGCACGCUGACAUGUAGGUGAAGUGAUUUACUCAUGGAGCUGAAGUCAGUCGAAGAUACCAGCUGGCUGCAACUGUUUAUUAAAAACACAGCACUGUGCAAACACGAAAGUGGACGUAUACGGUGUGACGCCUGCCCGGUGCCGGAAGGUUAAUUGAUGGGGUCAGCGCAAGCGAAGCUCCUGAUCGAAGCCCCGGUAAACGGCGGCCGUAACUAUAACGGUCCUAAGGUAGCGAAAUUCCUUGUCGGGUAAGUUCCGACCUGCACGAAUGGCGUAAUGAUGGCCAGGCUGUCUCCACCCGAGACUCAGUGAAAUUGAACUCGCUGUGAAGAUGCAGUGUACCCGCGGCAAGACGGAAAGACCCCGUGAACCUUUACUAUAGCUUGACACUGAACAUUGAGCCUUGAUGUGUAGGAUAGGUGGGAGGCUUUGAAGUGUGGACGCCAGUCUGCAUGGAGCCGGCCUUGAAAUACCACCCUUUAAUGUUUGAUGUUCUAACGUGGACCCGUGAUCCGGGUUGCGGACAGUGUCUGGUGGGUAGUUUGACUGGGGCGGUCUCCUCCUAAAGAGUAACGGAGGAGCACGAAGGUUGGCUAAUCCUGGUCGGACAUCAGGAGGUUAGUGCAAUGGCAUAAGCCAGCUUGACUGCGAGCGUGACGGCGCGAGCAGGUGCGAAAGCAGGUCAUAGUGAUCCGGUGGUUCUGAAUGGAAGGGCCAUCGCUCAACGGAUAAAAGGUACUCCGGGGAUAACAGGCUGAUACCGCCCAAGAGUUCAUAUCGACGGCGGUGUUUGGCACCUCGAUGUCGGCUCAUCACAUCCUGGGGCUGAAGUAGGUCCCAAGGGUAUGGCUGUUCGCCAUUUAAAGUGGUACGCGAGCUGGGUUUAGAACGUCGUGAGACAGUUCGGUCCCUAUCUGCCGUGGGCGCUGGAGAACUGAGGGGGGCUGCUCCUAGUACGAGAGGACCGGAGUGGACGCAUCACUGGUGUUCGGGUUGUCAUGCCAAUGGCACUGCCCGGUAGCUAAAUGCGGAAGAGAUAAGUGCUGAAAGCAUCUAAGCACGAAACUUGCCCCGAGAUGAGUUCU
RNAcentral lists this ribosomal RNA (2139 nucleotides) under Salmonella enterica subsp. enterica serovar Edinburgh. Its description in RNAcentral is "bacterial LSU rRNA". It matches the Rfam family "Bacterial large subunit ribosomal RNA", at positions 692 to 2812 of the family's 2925-position model. Lineage: Bacteria; Pseudomonadati; Pseudomonadota; Gammaproteobacteria; Enterobacterales; Enterobacteriaceae. The record is from RNAcentral.